Molecule: ribosomal RNA, 446 nt
Filed under: uncultured bacterium
Lineage: Bacteria
Description: partial 16S ribosomal RNA
Rfam family: Bacterial small subunit ribosomal RNA
Source: RNAcentral
CCUACGGGUGGCAGCAGUCGAGAAUCAUUCACAAUGGGGGAAACCCUGAUGGUGCGACGCCGCGUGGGGGAAUGAAGGUCUUCGGAUUGUAAACCCCUGUCAGGUGGGCGCAAAUUAAAAAGAUAGUACCACAAUAGGAAGAGACGGCUAACUCUGUGCCAGCAGCCGCGGUAAUACAGAGGUCUCAAGCGUUGUUCGGAAUCACUGGUCGUAAAGGGUGCGUAGGCUGUUCCGCAAGUCGUAUGUGAAAGGGGCGGGCUCAACCCGCAGACGGCACAUGAUAGUGCGAGACUAGAGUAAUGGAGAGGGAAUCGGAAUUCUCGGUGUAGCAGUGAAAUGCGUAGAUAUCGAGAGGAACACUCGUGGCGAAGGCGGGUUCCUGGACAUUAACUGACGCUGAGGCGCGAAGGCCAGGGGAGCGAAAGGGAUUAGAUACCCGGGUAGUC